CUGGCAGCGCCUUUGUGGGGAGAGCGCAGCGCCGGACCAGCGCUCCCCCCACCCCCGCGGCGCCCGGGCUGGGGCCGGGGCUCCCCGCCGUCCCCAUGAGCCGGCUGUAGGGUAGGCGCUGCUACGACCGCCCGUUUGUCCGAGGGCCUUUAGCUUUUGUUGGGGUUUUUUUUUUGUUUGUUUUUCCUUUUUUUUUUUUCCUUACAGUAUAUUUUUCUACACUUUGCUAUAAAAAAGAAAAAAACACACAAAAAAAACCAUGGUGCUGGGGAAGGUGAAGAGUUUGACAAUAAGCUUUGACUGUCUGAAUGACAGCAAUGUCCCCGUCUACUCCAGCGGGGACACAGUCUCAGGAAGGGUCAAUUUAGAAGUAACUGGGGAAAUUAGAGUGAAAUCUCUUAAAAUUCAUGCAAGGGGACACGCUAAAGUGCGUUGGACUGAAUCGAGAAAUGCUGGAUCCAACACUGCCUACACACAGAACUACACUGAAGAAGUAGAGUAUUUCAACCAUAAGGACAUCCUGAUCGGCCACGAGAGAGACGAUGACAAUUCGGAAGAAGGCCUUCACACCAUCCAGUCCGGAAGGCACGAAUAUGCAUUCAGCUUCGAGCUUCCACAGACACCACUUGCUACCUCAUUCGAAGGCAGACAUGGCAGUGUGCGCUAUUGGGUGAAAGCCGAAUUGCAUAGGCCUUGGUUUCUACCAGUAAAAUUAAAGAAGGAAUUUACAGUCUUUGAACAUAUAGAUAUCAACACUCCUUCAUUACUGUCACCCCAAGCAGGCACAAAAGAAAAGACUCUCUGUUGUUGGUUUUGUACCUCAGGCCCAAUAUCCUUAAGUGCCAAAAUUGAAAGGAAGGGCUACACCCCAGGUGAAUCAAUUCAGAUCUUUGCUGAGAUUGAGAACUGCUCUUCCCGUGUGGUGGUGCCAAAGGCGGCCAUUUACCAAACACAGGCAUUUUAUGCCAAAGGGAAAAUGAAGGAAGUCAAACAGCUUGUUGCCAACCUGCGUGGGGAAUCCUUGUCAUCUGGCAAAACAGAAACCUGGAAUGGCAAACAGUUGAAAAUUCCACCUGUUUCCCCUUCAAUCCUCGACUGCAGUAUAAUCCGUGUGGAGUAUUCACUGAUGGUUUAUGUUGAUAUUCCAGGCGCCAUGGAUUUAUUCCUUAACUUACCGCUGGUCAUUGGUACCAUUCCUCUACACCCAUUUGGUAGCAGAACAUCAAGUGUGAGCAGCCAGUGUAGCAUGAACAUGAAUUGGCUUGGUCUGACACUGCCUGAAAGACCAGAAGAACUUGCUGUUCGAACUGCGUGUACCUUUUCCCUGCAGCACCUCCUGCCUAUGCAGAAGUGGUCACAGAGGAACAAAGACAGUCCAGCCUUGCACCCAUAGGUGCUUGUGAUGACUUUGAGAGAGCGCUUCCGGGACCAUUGUUUGCAUACAUCCAGGAGUUCCGUUUUCUGCCUCCACCUCUCUAUUCAGAAAUUGAUCCAAACCCAGAUCAGUCCACAGAUGACAGACCAUCUUGCCCCUCUCGUUGAAGGAAUCCAUAAAAAGCUGACUUGACUUGGGUUUUGAAUCAUACCUGCCGUGUUGAAGGUCAAGGUGUCAUAGUGGAGACACACUUUGAAAGGAAGUGGUUUUGCUCUUGUCUGUAUGGUGAAUAACUGAAAACAACCUGUGAUCAUGCUUUGAAGCCUACAGUAACAUUGUAGGACUGCUCCACAUGCUUGAAGACCUGAGCUUCCCCCCCCUCCCUUCUUAAAUACUGGCACAUACUAGGAGCAGCCUUACUAACCUAUGGUCAUGUGUGUCAAAACAACACUCAAACCACAUUAUAAGAGAGGGAUGGCUUCCUCUUAUGAUUUGGAAAUUUGCACAUGCUCAUUGCUUACAUUGUGCGGUUCAAUGUCACUACAGCUUUUUCUCAUUUAUGCCGGACUGUUGUUAUUCCCCUCUUAUUUCUUUGUGGUCUGCACAGUAAGGAGCAAAAGAAAGCUUUGACAAAAAAAACCAACAGCAACAGACUUUGACAAAUGCACUGACUUUUCUUUUUUUUUUUUUAAUUUAAUGUAGCCUGGACUUUACCUGCAUAUGCACAUGCUCAGAAUUGUCCUAGUAGGCUGAUCAUGUAUCACCUCUUCAGCUUGGAUCCUAUGGUGGAUUUAUUUACAAACAUCAAAUGCCUUCAAGCCAAUCCUUCUUGCUGUAUGUUUUGCAGCCUACUGUAGUAGAUAAGCAACAGAUGGGGCUGGGGUGGGGGGUGGAGUUAAUAGAAAUUAAUAGACUUCAUCGAGAUUGUAUACCUUCCUGAUUUCUUUUAAGAAUUUGUUGCCUUUCUACUAUUAUCGCAAAGCAGCAUUUUGUUACAGACUGCCUAAAAAUCACUUAAUCUCAGGUGAACUCAUCACUUGCCAAACUGUUGGAAUGCUAUUUGUUUUGUUACGUUGCACUGUUGAGUUACUUCUUUUUUUUGUUUUGUGUUUGUGUUUUGUUUUUUGUUCUUUAUUCGAGAGGGGGAGCUGGAAUAGGGACAUACACAAAAGUUAGAAAACCCACCCUCAUUCCCAUUUCUCUUUAUACAUUAUAAAAAGAUGUUCAAGUUGUGAAGCUUUAAAAAAAAUAAAGGCACAAAAGAAAGUAGCGCCAGCAGAGACCAGCUCAGCCUCAAAAUAAAUUUAAAAGGAAAUAGUCAUACACUGUCUAGGAUUCAUAGACAGAUUGAUAUCUCAAGUAGUAGGGAUGGGAAGGGAAAGUAAAUUUAUUUUUAUAUAUAGUUACCUAAUCACCAAAAAUUCUAUAUGUAAUGAGUCUCUAGUAGAAAGUAUAUUUCAAACUGCAGGAAAAGCUUGGACUAUGCUAAGAGCUCAGUUUGUGCACUUUGUAUUAUCUUCAGGGUUUAUGAUACUGUAAAAAAUAGUAAGACUAGAAGUAUAAUUAAACUGGGCAAGAUCAGUGUUACCAGCCAUACUCAGAUACUAGUUAGCUAGAAUUGCCUUGAUGAUUGCAUCUUCUGUGGUACUCUGAAGAGCUUUAAAACAAAGAGAACAGCAAAUUCUACCAUUUAUUCCUUCAGAACGCAAGAAAUUACAUGGAGAGAGCACUCGCCCUUGAGUGUGCCCCAAGGAAGAAAAAGAGUGCAAAGGAGCCAUUAGAUGCGCUAGCACAAAUACCAGCACUUACAUGCUAGAGAUUUGCAGCAGAAGUCAACUUUCCUUUUCAGAAACCGUGUAACGCAGACCACUGGCAAAGGGACACGCUUCUGGUGUUGACUACUUAAAUCAAGAUGUAAUCCAUCAAGUAGCUAUCUCCUUGUGCAAUAAAACAGCUCAGAAGGGAGCAGGAGAGAGGAGGCUGGUGCUUCUGCGUGGUGCUUGUUCUUAAAAACCUCUGCCUUGUUUUUAAGGCUUCAUAAAUGCGACAAAAUAGGCUUUUCCAUAAGUGGCCUUUAUGAGAACAUGAACGAUAAUUCAUGUUUCAAAAAUGACAACAGGGUGAUAAAAUAAUGAGUCGCGUUUUAAGUGAUUCAGUUAAAAAGGCUUGGGCUUUGAGCACGAAUAUUGGAUGAGAAGGAAAUUGGGUGAUUUCUUAGGGUAUUAGGCCAAUUUUGUGAAUGUCCCUUCCCUCUACCCUCUCCAACCGGACAAUUUAAAAAGCUGAUGGGAUCGUUGGCAUAAAAGGGCAUUUGGUGGUUUUACUUUUUUUUCCUUUUUUUGUUACUUUUAACAGACUAGGGAACAAUUGCUGAUAUACAUAGCAUUAAAGUACUUAUCACAAUGUAAUGGAAAAUUGCAUAUGAAGCAGGAUUGACCAAUAUCGUAGUAAUUUAUGUGGCAUCACAGCCUUUGUGAUUAGAGUGAACAAUUCUAUAACCUUAUCAAAUAAAGGCUUUCCGUUUUAAAUUACGUUGUUAGUUGUUCAGAGGCAUUACUCUUCCACAAGUAUUGGUCAAUUCUCAGCAUUAUAAAACAUGAGGUUCACAGUUGUAGCCCAGUAUUUGAUAGAGAAUUCUGAUCUGAAUUAGGAAAAAGUAAGUAAAAUCCAAACAUUAGAGAAACAAAGUGCAAUAUUAAAUGUUUGCUUUAUAGAAUAUAUUCUAUGGCUGUUUGUACUUUUUUGUUUUUAGUUUUGGUGCUGAAUAUGUCCUUGUAGACUCUGUUUCAAGAAAACAAUAUGUGGAAAACAAUUUAAUUUUUCCUAUUGCUCUUCCUUGUGGAAAAUAAACUUUUGUAAAAAAAAAAAA
RNA transcript from Grus americana (Whooping crane), 4244 nucleotides. It is a transcript of the gene named arrestin domain containing 3, with no coding region annotated. The record is from RefSeq and is a predicted model, not a curated record. Lineage: Eukaryota; Metazoa; Chordata; Aves; Gruiformes; Gruidae. The transcript is spliced from 8 exons.